GACGAACGCUGGCGGCGUGCUUAACACAUGCAAGUCGAACGGAAAGGCCCUGCUUUUGCGGGGUGCUCGAGUGGCGAACGGGUGAGUAACACGUGAGUAACCUGCCCUUGACUUUGGGAUAACUUCAGGAAACUGGGGCUAAUACCGGAUAGGAGCUCCUGCUGCAUGGUGGGGGUUGGAAAGUUUCGGCGGUUGGGGAUGGACUCGCGGCUUAUCAGUUUGUUGGUGGGGUAGUGGCUUACCAAGGCUUUGACGGGUAGCCGGCCUGAGAGGGUGACCGGCCACAUUGGGACUGAGAUACGGCCCAGACUCCUACGGGAGGCAGCAGUGGGGAAUAUUGCACAAUGGGCGGAAGCCUGAUGCAGCAACGCCGCGUGCGGGAUGACGGCCUUCGGGUUGUAAACCGCUUUCGCCUGUGACGAAGCGUGAGUGACGGUAAUGGGUAAAGAAGCACCGGCUAACUACGUG
Molecule: ribosomal RNA, 468 nt
Filed under: uncultured bacterium
Lineage: Bacteria
Description: partial 16S ribosomal RNA
Rfam family: Bacterial small subunit ribosomal RNA
Source: RNAcentral